Molecule: ribosomal RNA, 396 nt
Filed under: Staphylococcus aureus
Lineage: Bacteria; Bacillati; Bacillota; Bacilli; Caryophanales; Staphylococcaceae
Description: partial 23S ribosomal RNA
Rfam family: Bacterial large subunit ribosomal RNA
Source: RNAcentral
GUAUAGGGGCUGACGCCUGCCCGGUGCUGGAAGGUUAAGAGGAGUGGUUAGCUUCUGCGAAGCUACGAAUCGAAGCCCCAGUAAACGGCGGCCGUAACUAUAACGGUCCUAAGGUAGCGAAAUUCCUUGUCGGGUAAGUUCCGACCCGCACGAAAGGCGUAACGAUUUGGGCACUGUCUCAACGAGAGACUCGGUGAAAUCAUAGUACCUGUGAAGAUGCAGGUUACCCGCGACAGGACGGAAAGACCCCGUGGAGCUUUACUGUAGCCUGAUAUUGAAAUUCGGCACAGCUUGUACAGGAUAGGUAGGAGCCUUUGAAACGUGAGCGCUAGCUUACGUGGAGGCGCUGGUGGGAUACUACCCUAGCUGUGUUGGCUUUCUAACCCGCACCACUUA